CCUACGGGAGGCAGCAGUGGGGAAUAUUGCACAAUGGGGGAAACCCUGAUGCAGCGACGCCGCGUGAGCGAAGAAGUAUCUCGGUAUGUAAAGCCCUAUCAGCAGGGAAGAAAAUGACGGUACCUGAGUAAGAAGCUCCGGCUAAAUACGUGCCAGCAGCCGCGGUAAUACGUAUGGAGCAAGCGUUAUCCGGAUUUACUGGGCGUAAAGGGGGCGUAGGCGGCCUUGCAAGUCUGAUGUGAAAUACCGGGGCCCAACCCCGGGGCUGCAUUGGAAACUGGCAGGCUGGAGUGCCGGAGAGGCAGGCGGAAUUCCUGGUGUAGCGGUGAAAUGCGUAGAUAUUAGGAGGAACACCAGUGGCGAAGGCGGCCUGCUGGACGGUGACUGACGCUGAGGCUCGAAAGCGUGGGGAGCAAACAGGAUUAGAUACCCGAGUAGUC
RNAcentral lists this ribosomal RNA (440 nucleotides) under uncultured bacterium. RNAcentral describes it as "partial 16S ribosomal RNA". It matches the Rfam family "Bacterial small subunit ribosomal RNA", at positions 338 to 795 of the family's 1533-position model. The record is from RNAcentral.